GCCAGGCUGGGGGCGCGGGCCUGUAGUCCCAACUACUUGGGAGGCUGAGGCUGGAGAAUCGCUUGAGCCCAGGAGUUCUGGGCUGCAGUGCGCUAUGCUGAUCCGGUGUCCACACUAAGUUCGGCAUCAAUAUCGUGACCUCCCCAGAGCGGGAGACCACCAGGUUGCCUAAGGAAGGGUGAACUGGCCCAGGUCCGAAACAGAGCAGGUCAAAAACAGACCCGGGGGGGGGGGAGGUCCAGUAAUGGUGCACAGGGUUAAGUGCACUUAGUAUGAAGCACAACGACCCGUGCAAGGAUCUCAGUUUGAGCCUCUG
RNAcentral lists this signal recognition particle RNA (316 nucleotides) under Erinaceus europaeus (western European hedgehog). RNAcentral describes it as "Metazoan signal recognition particle RNA". It matches the Rfam family "Metazoan signal recognition particle RNA". From Rfam's summary of the family: The signal recognition particle (SRP) is a universally conserved ribonucleoprotein. Lineage: Eukaryota; Metazoa; Chordata; Mammalia; Eulipotyphla; Erinaceidae. The record is from Rfam by way of RNAcentral.